Molecule: ribosomal RNA, 742 nt
Filed under: uncultured bacterium
Lineage: Bacteria
Description: bacterial SSU rRNA
Rfam family: Bacterial small subunit ribosomal RNA
Source: RNAcentral
AGCGGCGGACGGGUGAGUAACACGUGGGUAACCUGCCCAAGAGACUGGGAUAACACCUGGAAACAGAUGCUAAUACCGGAUAACAACACUAGACGCAUGUCUAGAGUUUGAAAGAUGGUUCUGCUAUCACUCUUGGAUGGACCUGCGGUGCAUUAGCUAGUUGGUAAGGUAACGGCUUACCAAGGCAAUGAUGCAUAGCCGAGUUGAGAGACUGAUCGGCCACAUUGGGACUGAGACACGGCCCAAACUCCUACGGGAGGCAGCAGUAGGGAAUCUUCCACAAUGGACGAAAGUCUGAUGGAGCAACGCCGCGUGAGUGAAGAAGGGUUUCGGCUCGUGAAGCUCUAUUGGUAGUGAAGAAAGAUAGAGGUAGUAACUGGCCUUUAUUUGACGGUAAUUACUUAGAAAGUCACGGCUAACUACGUGCCAGCAGCCGCGGUAAUACGUAGGUGGCAAGCGUUGUCCGGAUUUAUUGGGCGUAAAGCGAGUGCAGGCGGUUCAAUAAGUCUGAUGUGAAAGCCUUCGGCUCAACCGGAGAAUUGCAUCAGAAACUGUUGAACUUGAGUGCAGAAGAGGAGAGUGGAACUCCAUGUGUAGCGGUGGAAUGCGUAGAUAUAUGGAAGAACACCAGUGGCGAAGGCGGCUCUCUGGUCUGCAACUGACGCUGAGGCUCGAAAGCAUGGGUAGCGAACAGGAUUAGAUACCCUGGUAGUCCAUGCCGUAAACGAUGAGUGCUAAGUGU